This 62-nucleotide transfer RNA is filed under the name Falcolipeurus suturalis. Its description in RNAcentral is "tRNA-Leu". The record is from RNAcentral. Lineage: Eukaryota; Metazoa; Arthropoda; Insecta; Psocodea; Philopteridae.
ACUGAUUUGGCAGAUUAGUGCGUUAAAUUUAGGAUUUGAAUAUGUUGUUGAAACAUUCAGUU